GUCUUCCGGGAUGGCGCUUGGCUGUGGCCGCGUGGUCUCUCACGCCGGGGCGCCGGGCAGGGGAACGCGGCCACCCUGAGUCUGGUGAGUCGACUGCGGCGGCCGGACCGUGUCCGAGGUGUCCGGGGCCGUGAACGCGUGAAGGGUGGAAGAUGGAUGCCUGAAGUGUAGACUGCUGCUAGCUCAAUACCAUCUGGGAGCACAAAGGUGACCAGAAGGUAGGGUGAUAUGUCAUAAAGCACUUUGUAAUGGGAAUUUUUAUCACCUUUUAGAUUGGGGCUCCUUCUCUAGUGAGUAUUAACGUUAGUGGUACAUUCGUAGUGUUGCUCCGUCUGUAGCUAUUUAGGUGAGUUAACAAAUGGGACAGCCUGCACAGCUUAUUUUUGGGAAAGUUUUGCUGAUACAUCCUGAGAAGCCCAGGGAAAUAAAUACGCAUAGUACUGGCAUUCUGGAUCCCUUAAGAAUUGUUUUUAUGUGUAGUCAUUGAGUUUUUUAAAAACUUGUCAAAUCGCAGGCAUAUUAAUUACCAAGUUCUUGAUUAAAAUGUUACACAAAAAUAUCUGCUGCCGAAUUGAGUACUUUAUUUUUUCUCUUAGGAUGUCCUUGGUGAAGAGUUUGAAAAUUUGGUCUUCACAAGAGUUGCUUGGCUCAUUUGAAAUUGCCAGGAGUCUGAGGAUUUCUGACAUAACUGCCUGUUGGAGUCUGUAAAUACACACUUAAGACAGUGAGGAUGUGAAUAAAUAUAUUAAUGCACUUUGACAUUUGUGUUUUAAGUGAUUAACUGCCAGAAAUAGCUGUUUCUAAAAAGUUAUAAGGGAGGAGGGCUUCUUUUUUGAUCAGUUUUCACUGUUGUCACCAUAAUUAAUAGCCUUACAAUAGCUUGUGUUUGGCCCAAAGAGAAAUGUACUUUCUUCCAGUGACUCAAAAAUCGUGGCGAGAACUAGACUGAUUCUAGUGACAGGUGUGCUUUACUGCACCCAAUGCAUACAUUUUUUCCCUCCAACUAGAUUGUACACUUAAUAUUGGCAUAUCUUCUGCCUUCACUUUGCAAGAAACAACAAAUAAUGUAUUCAUGUAUUCAAAAAAUUUAUUGAAAGCACUGUACUAGGAGCUAAGAACAUGAUGACGAGCACAACACAGUUCUUCCCUUUGGAAACAAAGUUGAGUGGAGGGAAUGUCAUCACAUGUAAAACUUCACUAUGAGUUCCAUGAUAGGAUUUUCUUGGGGAAACCUGAGAAAGAGUUGAGACCAAAGGUAUGUGUCAUACUUUUCACAAGGCAAAAUUGGGGAAAUGACAUGCAGAGGCUUGGGCUAGAAAAAAGAUACCAUAAGUCCACUUACUUUUGUGACAGUUUUGGCUGCUUUCCCUCUUCAGUGCCUUGUUUCAGAAUUGAGUUGUUUACUGAGGCAUGUAAGAUGGCUAUUAUGGGAGGUGGGAGUGUUACAAAAUGAGGCUGAAGAGGUAGGUAAAGAAGCCAGACACACCACUUCAGGCUCCCUCUGGCUUUAUUAAAGCAAGAUAAGUCCAUGGUGGAAAAUCAGAUUUGCAAAAAAAGGUAGUUGAACUAGGUUGCUUAUUGUUGUCUAGGCGAGAGACCAUCUUGCACUAGUAAAAUUAGUGAAAUAAAAUUGUUUAUAGUUCGAUGACAGAGCCAACUAGACUUGGUAAUACUGGAGGUGUCCAUAACUGCUAGGUGUCGAGCUUGCACACUGAUGAGCAUAAUGACUAUAAAUCCAGUUGGGGAGCAGCAUUUAAACAGCUGAAUUCUUAAAUUACCUUUAAGAAAUCCAAAUGGUCUUUUUGCAGUAGCACAUUACUCGGUAGUCUAAACUACAGAAAUAAACCUUAAGGCCAUGGGUAUAAAUGAUAUCUACCCGGGGUAGAGGAAGAGGGCCUAGGGUUUGAAGUUAGAGAAACUCCACUAAUGGCAAGGUAAAGCAUGAUAAGCUAGAAAGGGUGGUCAGUAUGUGGUAGGAGCAAAAUAGGAUUACAUUAAAGAAGCAAAAGAAUAUCCUAAAAAUUCUCCCUGGGAUUAAGUGACACAGUGAUUGAUAUUAAUCACUUAAGAUGGAUUAGUUGAAUUGAGGGCAAUGACUAAAGAUAACUCCUUGCAUGAAGAUUGGCUGAGAAUGAGAGGAAAAUCAUAGUUGCUAGAGGGUGGGGGGUUGUAGUUAUGAAAGAUAGUUUUCUUUAGUCUUAGUUUUAAAUUUAAAACGAAGUAGCAAGGAUCUAGCUGAGAGAAUGAUUGAAUACGUUAAUAUAGGAGGAGGAGAUACAAAGAUCCUGAAAAGGCUGGGAGAGAGCAUCCAAAGCACAGGCGGAGAGACAAAAAGGUUAGGGCUGCUGGCAGCUGUGGAGAGAACUGUAUGUGGUAAGGGGGAGAUGUAAGACAUCCUGUGUAAGUAUUUUCCCCGUAGACUGCAAAGUCAUCUAUGGAGAGGAAAGGUCCAAAAUAGUCACUGGGGAGAGCAGGUGAGUUAGAUGGCCAAGCAGGGUGGAUAGAUCAUUUGAGGUUUGGGGUGAGGGAUCAACUGAAAUCCACAUAGACUUCUGAAAACACAAGACAAGAACACUUUAGAAAUUAACACUUAAAAACAAAGCUUUUUACAUCAUUUGUAAAUAACUGGUGGAACUUAACACCACAAAAUACAGUAUUAUAAAGAACUAUAUGAAUAAAAAUGUCUGCAGU
Macaca fascicularis (crab-eating macaque) is the source of this 2691-nucleotide long non-coding RNA. The record is from Ensembl. NCBI's taxonomy places the organism in Eukaryota, Metazoa, Chordata, Mammalia, Primates, Cercopithecidae.